RNAcentral lists this ribosomal RNA (447 nucleotides) under uncultured bacterium. RNAcentral describes it as "bacterial SSU rRNA". It matches the Rfam family "Bacterial small subunit ribosomal RNA", at positions 330 to 792 of the family's 1533-position model. The record is from RNAcentral.
CCCAGACUCCUACGGGAGGCAGCAGUGGGGAAUAUUGGGCAAUGGGCGCAAGCCUGACCCAGCGACGCCGCGUGAGGGAAGACGGUCUUCGGAUUGUAAACCUCUUUCAGCAGGGAAGACAAAAGGACGGUACCUGCAGAAGAAGCCACGGCUAACUACGUGCCAGCAGCCGCGGUAAUACGUAGGUGGCAAGCGUUAUCCGGAAUUACUGGGUGUAAAGGGUGUGUAGGCGGGGCUGCAAGUCAGAUGUGAAAAUUAUGGGCUCAACCCAUAACCUGCGUCUGAAACUGUAGCUCUUGAGAGUGGGAGAGGUAAACGGAAUUCCCGGUGUAGCGGUGAAAUGCGUAGAUAUCAGGAGGAACAUCGGUGGCGUAAGCGCUUUACUGGGCCGUAAUUGACACUGAGGAACGAAAGCCGGGGUAGCAAAUGGGAUUAGAUACCCCAGUA